UGGGGAAUUUUGCACAAUGGAGGAAACUCUGAUGCAGCGACGCCGCGUGAGUGAUGAAGAUCUUCGGAUUGUAAAACUCUGUCCUUAGUGAAGAUAAUGACAGUAACUAAGAAGCAAGCCCUGGCUAAAUACGUGCCAGCAGCCGCGGUAAUACGUAUGGGGCAAGCGUUGUCCGGAAUUAUUGGGCGUAAAGGGUACGUAGGCGGUUUAAUAAGUCCUAAUUAAAAGGCUAUGGCUCAACCAUAGUAUGGUUAGGAAACUGUUGAACUUGGGUAGAUGAGGGGAAAGUGGAAUUCCAUGUGUAGCGGUGAAAUGCGUAGAUAUAUGGAGGAACCCCAAUGGCGAAGGCAACUUUCUGGAAACAAACUGACGCUGAGGUACGAAGGCGUGGGGAGCAAACAGG
Molecule: ribosomal RNA, 403 nt
Filed under: Fusobacteriota bacterium
Lineage: Bacteria; Fusobacteriati; Fusobacteriota
Description: Fusobacteria bacterium partial 16S ribosomal RNA
Rfam family: Bacterial small subunit ribosomal RNA
Source: RNAcentral